Molecule: long non-coding RNA, 451 nt
Filed under: Trifolium pratense (red clover)
Lineage: Eukaryota; Viridiplantae; Streptophyta; Magnoliopsida; Fabales; Fabaceae
Description: long non-coding RNA (TPRA_LNC010792)
Source: RNAcentral
GAAAAUGAAAUUAAAACAAUGUUACAGGUCCAAAAGAAAUCAAACACACAAAGGAAAAUUAAAGGAAAGUAACAUGUGCCUUCUCAAAGGGUAAUUAGAAACAAAAGUGGUGAUUAAAAGUGGAGCCUUAUCAAUAACAAAAUUGAUUUCUCUUCCUUCUCAGUAAGAGAGGCGGUAGCAUCACAACACAACACAACAGGGGAUUGCAAGUUGAAAAGGUCUGACAAGCUUAAAAUCAAGUUGAUUAGGCGGUGAUACAAGAGACUUAAUGUUGAAGAGUUGCUGAGGCGGCUAAGCAAUUUCGAAGGAGUAUAAAUAGAGCUCUUUGGUGAAACAAUAAAAAAAUCAUGUUGUACAUAGAAAACAGUUUUGGAGAGGCAGAGAUUGAAGAACACAGAGGAGAAUACCAACAACAAUUGAAGUAUUUUUGGGUUAUUCUCUUCUCUUAAUU